Molecule: ribosomal RNA, 253 nt
Filed under: uncultured bacterium
Lineage: Bacteria
Description: partial 16S ribosomal RNA
Rfam family: Bacterial small subunit ribosomal RNA
Source: RNAcentral
UACGUAGGUGGCGAGCGUUGUCCGGAUUUACUGGGCGUAAAGGGAGCGUAGGCGGGCUUUUAAGUGAGAUGUGAAAUACUCGGGCUCAACUUGAGUGCUGCAUUUCAAACUGGAAGUCUAGAGUGCAGGAGAGGAGAAUGGAAUUCCUAGUGUAGCGGUGAAAUGCGUAGAGAUUAGGAAGAACACCAGUGGCGAAGGCGAUUCUCCGGACUGUAACUGACGCUGAGGCUCGAAAGCGUGGGGAGCAAACAGG